AAGCAGUAUUCAGGAUGUUCUGGGACUUGAGUUAAUUUCUGGGCUUUUAAUCAAAUCCUACACAAGGUGUUUUUUGCUUUUCACCUAGGUGCCCCUACCUCUUAUAGAUGGAGGCAUAUUUUAAAAUGGCGUUAGUGUGGCAAAUUUUUCCCCUUCCUACAAUGUGAGAUAUGGAGUCAAAGGAGAUCAUUUUGGAGCUUUAAGAUUUUACUGUCCCACUGAAUUUCGGACUUGCAUGGGGCCUGCAGCCCUUUUGUUUUGGCUAAUUUCUCCCAUUUGUAAUGGCUGUUUUUACCAAAUGCCUGUACCCCCACUGUAUCUAGUAAGUAACUAACUUGCUUUUGAUUUAACAGACUCAUAGGCAGAAGGAACUUGCCUUGCCUUGGAUGAGUGUACCCCCACUGUAUCUAGAGUUUCCCUGCACAAGCCCUCUUGUCUGCCACCCUGUGAGACAUGGAUUUUGCCUUCCACCAUGAUUGUGUGGCCUCCCCAACCACGCGGAACUAUAAUGAAGAUAUUAUACCAUUAUAUGCUCUUGAAUCUGUCUCAUUGUGACUUGGCCAAGAGGCAGUGAAUCUGCCAAAAAGAAGUAGAGCAGCUGUGAAGAUGCCAACACAAUUGAGUACUCUUUCUCCACAUAUUUCUAAACAUGGCAAUUUAUUGGACACUUAUGAGCAUGGAAUGACAAUAGGGUCAAUUUAACCAUAUGGCAAUGCUGAGACACCUUCAUUAUGACCUUUCCCUGGUAUAAGUUAUGUGAUAAUGAAUGCAUGUUUAGUCACACACUGUAGGUACAGAUGGGAAAAAAGAAAGCAUAAAAUAUAAAACAUGAUGUCCAGGUUUCAAAUAAGAAUUCUAAAAAAUGUUAUUUAAUGAAUGAAAUGAAAAUACUUUACUUUAGAAAAAGAAUAUUGAAUCUCUUUGAUGUAUAAAAUGUAUAUUUCAAAUUAAAAAUUCAAAAGAAACAAAUUAGAUAUAAUUUAUUUUGUCCUCAAAUACUCUUGAUGACUGCACAAUUCUUUUCAUCUUCAAAUUUUGUCAAAUUCAAGUAUCAAACUUCACCUGUCUUCAGGCUAAGUGUUGACCAUAUGGCAAAAUGAAGCUCAUCAUACUACAGAGAUCUACUUGGGGUCUAAUUUUCAUCAUUAUAAUCCAAAAUUUUCCUUCAAAGACAAAAAGACAAAACAGUUGAUAAAGUCUUCUAUAAGAUUAUUAUUAUUGAUUAUUUAAAUUCCUUUGACUGGGUCAAACAAAUAUUCUGUAGACAAAAUUAAUUUCAUAUCAAGGUGAGAUAAUUUUUGAAUUGUGCUCCAAAAAGUCAUUUUUAAAUUAUAAAUAAAUUUUUACUUAUUAAUUGACACAUUUAACAAAAAUUCAUUCAGCGCUAUACAGCAACCAUUAUGCCAAGACUGAAACAUUUCCUUCCCCCACAAAUCAAAAACUAUAUUGUAAAUAGUCAUGAGAGUUUAACACUAGCUCUUCAAAAGGCUAUUCAUCCCAAAAUAAAGUCAUGCCAUUGUUUCACUUAAGGCUUCUAAGUUGUUUUGAAAAGUUGUAUCAUUUCUGGAAUGACUAGUAAUAUAUUUAAGGGAGUUAAAAGAAGUAAUUACCAUUUACUGACUAGUCACAUACUAGGUUAUUUUAUUAUGAUAAACCACUUACAUGUAAAAUUGUGACAUAAAUUGAACAAUUUCCAAAAUUAAGUACUUUCUCAGUUUUGGGACAAGAUUCUACUGUCCUAUCACUGCUUUCAAAAUACCUCCCUUUAAAGUCAAAGUAAACAUUUCCUGAGUUAAUUUCAACUGCUUGUGGCACAUAACAACAUUUUGGUCAACAACUGAUUGCAUAUACAUUGGUGAUCCUAUAAGAUUAUAAUGAAGCCAAAAAAAUUAUUGUAGCCUAGUGACAUUAUAGUCAUCCCAAUGUCAUAACAAAAUGUGUUACUCACAUGUUUGUGGUGAUCCUUGUGCAAACAAACUCAUUGCACUGCCAUUCACAUAAAAUGAUAGCAUAUACAAUUAUGUAGAAUACAUAAUAAUUGAUAAUGAUAGUGACAUGGUGGGGCUCUGUAUCCCCACCCAAAUCUCAUCUUGAAUAAUCCCCAGGUGUGGAGGGAGAGACAUGGUAGGAGGUGAUUGGAUCAUGGGGCAGUUGCUCCCAUGCUGUUCUUGCAAUAGUGAGUGAGUUAUGAGAUCUAAUGGUUUUAUAAGGGGCUCUUUCCUCUAUGCCUGCCACACUAUCUCUUGCCUGCUACCAUGUAAGCCGUGCCUGUUUCCACUUCCGCCAUAAUUGUAAGGCUGAGGCCUCCCCAGCCAUGUGAAACUGUGAGUCAAUUAAAAAUCUUUCCUUUAU
Molecule: long non-coding RNA, 2352 nt
Organism: Gorilla gorilla gorilla (western lowland gorilla)
Lineage: Eukaryota; Metazoa; Chordata; Mammalia; Primates; Hominidae
Exons: 3
Source: RefSeq, a predicted model, not a curated record